RNAcentral lists this ribosomal RNA (499 nucleotides) under uncultured bacterium. Its description in RNAcentral is "partial 16S ribosomal RNA". It matches the Rfam family "Bacterial small subunit ribosomal RNA", at positions 28 to 507 of the family's 1533-position model. The record is from RNAcentral.
GACGAACGCUGGCGGCGUGCCUAAUACAUGCAAGUCGAGCGGACUGACUGGGAGCUUGCUCUUGUUCGGUCAGCGGCGGACGGGUGAGUAACACGUGGGCAACCUGCCCGCAAGACCGGGAUAACUCCGGGAAACCGGAGCUAAUACCGGAUAACACCGAAGACCGCAUGGUCUUUGGUUGAAAGGCGGCGCAAGCUGCCACUUGCGGAUGGGCCCGCGGCGCAUUAGCUAGUUGGUGAGGUAACGGCUCACCAAGGCGACGAUGCGUAGCCGGCCUGAGAGGGUGACCGGCCACACUGGGACUGAGACACGGCCCAGACUCCUACGGGAGGCAGCAGUAGGGAAUCUUCCGCAAUGGGCGAAAGCCUGACGGAGCGACGCCGCGUGAGCGAAGAAGGCCUUCGGGUCGUAAAGCUCUGUUGUGAGGGACGAAGAAGCGCCGUUUGAAGAAGGCGGCGCGGUGACGGUACCUCACGAGGAAGCCCCGGCUAACUACGUG